CUCAUCAUCAGAAUAUAUUGGAUAAACCAAUAACAGUUUGUCUGGCAGCAACAGUUGACGAAGGAUCAACAUCAUCAAGUUGGAAAUGUGGAAAUAAUUUAUUGCCAUCUUUAGUUACUACGGAGAUUGGUAGCCAGUGUCUUUCCAGCCAAAUGAUUCAUGACAACCAUUGUCCAGUUAGGCUACCAGAUCUCUCAUCAACCAAGAUACAAAUGCAGAGAAGCCCUGUUACCUCCUCUUCUAAGGUCGCUCAAUUAUGCACCACCAACAAAAAACUCUG
RNAcentral lists this long non-coding RNA (280 nucleotides) under Musa acuminata (dwarf banana). RNAcentral's name for it is "long non-coding RNA (MACU_LNC003929)". The record is from RNAcentral. Lineage: Eukaryota; Viridiplantae; Streptophyta; Magnoliopsida; Zingiberales; Musaceae.